GAUUUACAGUUUCACAUCUCCCGACUUCUCUCUCAUAAAAAAGUGACUAUGUUUCUUCAAAACUCUGCCACCAUUGACGGUUUCACGAAAGAUCUAUAGGUCAUGCCUUCACCAAUAUGAGGCUCUUCAAGCCAAAACAUGGGCGAGAGACAGAGCCAAGCAAGAAGAGAUCCGUGGCAAACAGAAAAAGAAACUAUGCAGU
Molecule: non-coding RNA, 202 nt
Organism: Nicotiana tabacum (common tobacco)
Lineage: Eukaryota; Viridiplantae; Streptophyta; Magnoliopsida; Solanales; Solanaceae
Source: RefSeq, a predicted model, not a curated record